RNAcentral lists this long non-coding RNA (27053 nucleotides) under Triticum aestivum (bread wheat). Its description in RNAcentral is "long non-coding RNA (TAES_LNC019502)". The record is from RNAcentral. Lineage: Eukaryota; Viridiplantae; Streptophyta; Magnoliopsida; Poales; Poaceae.
UUUUUUUUAGUCAUUCUUUUCUUUCUCUCUUCAUCUUCACCAAUCACGUGUAAGUGACUGAACAUAUGAGGAAGAAAAUAAGGACUGUAACUGCGCGGAUGGAUAAAUAUAGGCUCAAAACGGACACGCCCGACCGGGCGCGUCCACGGACGUUUGAGGGGUCGAAUUAGAGGUAUGUGGCUGAAGAUGCUCUAAGAGCACUACAGCCAGACGCCUCAAACUCGUCUCAUACGUCCGGACGGGCCGUCCGGUCACUGUCCGGUCACGUUUUUUCGACCAAGACGGGCUCCUUAAACAGGUUUCAAACGCCCGGGCUGACCGACACCUACCAUAUCGAGCCCAAAUACAGGGCGGAUAAGGGGUGCCUAGGCGCGCACGGGCACUAGGGGUGGAUUAUAACGAGCAGCUCGGCUCGUUAAGCUCGUGCUUGUUAAGGCUCGGCUCGUUAAGCUCGUUAAGAUUAACGAGCAGAAAACCCUGCUCGGCUCGGCUCGUUUGAAGCUCGUUAAGCUCGUGAGCGCUCGCGAGCGCUCGGUAACAGAUUAUAAUGUGUUACGAUAUACAUGAUGAAUGUGUAGGUGUGGUUUUCAAGAUGAAAUAUGGCGACUACAAAAAGAACUGCAGUAGUUUGUUGCCUCAUAUGUCAAUUAGAUUAAAUAGAUGGGCUGAGGUGCUACAAAAAGUUUGUCAUGUCAGAUAAAAAUAUGUGUUGUGUUGUUACUAACGAGCUUAACGAGCUACUCGUGAAACUUGUUAGCUUGCUCGUUAAGCUCGUUAAGCAUAACGAGGUGAAAUCAAUGGUUGACUCUGUUCAUUAAGAAGCGAGCUACGAGCUUAACGAUCCGAACUAUCGAGCGCUCAUUAAGCUCGCGAGCUACGAGCUUUUGGUCCAGCCCUAACGGGCACGCCCGUCACGUCGGACCCGACAGCCCGAUCCCACCCCAAAUUGCACUAAAUCCAUCAAACCCUUUGUCCUCCUCCCGCCACCUCCAACCUUUCCCGCGCCCAGACCCUCGUCGUCCUCCACUCUUGCUCCCAAACCUCACCUCCCGUCCCGGUCUACCGCCGAAAAAUAUCGUCCAACCCGACCCACACCACCGCGACGGAGACGCAGUCCGCCUCGUCCGUCAACGGGGUCAAUUCGUCGGCUGCGACUUGCAAGGCGAAGAACGUCGCCCGCAAGUUGCGGUGACUCCGGCAGCGAGAGAGGGAGGCGGCGGCGGCGCAGGGAGGUUCGGACGUGGUGGAGUAGUUGUCUCCUCCGCCGCGCCCGGAUCCCCGCACCCCUUCCCUCUGAACGCCGAUGUGGAUUACGCCGUCCGAGCCCCUUGGGGCAGAGGAUGAUGCGACCACCGACACGCUCGAACAUUGAUUUCAUUUUGCCAUGUCCGGUUUUUGAACUAUGAUUUGUUUUUCUUUGUUUCGAACUUUGGCAUUCGGAUUGUUGUAUCGUAUGAACGACGUGCAUGGAUUGCAUGGAUUUGAAGAUAAAAAUUUAAUGUGUAGCGCAACAUUUGAUGGAUGCUCGGGCAGUCCGCGGGGUUUAAGAGGCCGGAUUUGCCGAGUCUGGCCGUAGAUGCUCUAAUUUACCGUGGCCGCACACGCAACGAGACCUCUCUUUUCACCCACGUCAUUUUCCUCCCAUUAGCCACGGCAUAUUCGACCUCGCCGGAAAACGCUGCAGCACACGUGGUUGCACCGCGACGGCGGCUUUGAGGUGCGUGGCGCGGGCUCGCACGGGUCGACCGUGCACGGCGUAGUGGGGGUCGCCGACGGCGGCCUUUAGCCGGUACGUACGGUGCGGUGUCAGCGGUGAGCGGUCGCAUGCAUGUACUUCUUUCAAUGAUCGCGUGGGACGGAUGGAUGCUCCUCCGGACAGCAACGCGCGCUCGGGCUCGAUAGCUGUCCGAAACGUACGUCUAACCGCCCCCGCCCGAAAGUACAAGAUCGACCGCCCGGCGCACCGACCUGGCGCCAUCCGCCACGUCGGGACGAGCGGCACGUAGGCAUCGCGUGUACUGUACACGGUAGCCAUCCGCUGGGCUUUGUAGCCGUACGUCUCCUCUCUCAUCGAUUUCCCUUUUCUUUUUCAUGAUUUUUUGGUGAAAGGGGCACGAGCUAGUAGCUUGUAGAAUAAUAAUGAUGCGUUAGUAGGGGCCCGGUAGCUAAGCAUGCAUCUUAAAUGGAGCACUCAAUGAUUCGAGCAUGUACUUCAUGGUGAUCGGCAUUGAAAAGCUGGAGAUUAGCCCGACGAAGAAGCUCUAGAUGUGUACGUAGUGCAAUGAGUUCAUCUAUUUGAAAAUCUAAAGUCUCUUAAUUGAUUGCGCCUACAAGGUAGAUACAUGGGCGCCAUCACGCGAGGGGAGGAAGGUAUAGGGCAGGUCGCUGUUGCGAGCUACAGCGCGGGAAGCGUCGCUCGCUCCGGGUAACGUGGCCGGGGCCCGCUCGCGUUUCGGCGUCAAGCAAAAGCGGAGAAAGCAACGGGGGAGAGAGAUAGGUGGAUGGAGAAAGGGACCGGGCAAAACAACAAGAAAAGAUACUGGAGAUAUUGCUACGAUGGCUGGUCCGUGAUCGUGUACCGAGUACUGAUGAGUGUCCUGACUCAUACCUGCAAUCUGUCCAUCAAUCUGUCCUGUAUUUUAUUUGCAUCUCCUGCCUGCCGGCCUGCCACGCACGUAUGUCAUCACGAAGCAGAUUACCGGAUUGAUCGAGCCAAAAUCAUGAGGUAAUAGCACCCCGGUACCCUAACUUGCACCCAAUGUGAUGAUUCAGUCCCAAAGUUACAAAACUUAACCAAACCAUACCCCAACUUGCAUCUCAUGUGAUGAUUUAGUCUCAGCCCAAUCAGAGCUCGCCAAUUGGCUGCCAAGUGGCUGGACCGGUCAGCGCGCGCAGUUUUGCACAAAAACCCCUGCCGUUUCCCUGAAUCAACCCGCAGUAUAGCACACCUGAAUUAAAUCUGUCGGAAUCGAGUUCACGUCCGAUCAGAUCCAGCUCCACUCGUUCCCCAUCUGCCCCCUUGCCCCCUCAGCUCCAGCAUCAGCUUCUCCACGCCGCCAGCAAGCUCGCCGCCGCCGUCCAGCUCACCGCCGCCGUCCAGGUCGCCCCCAUGGUAUCUUGGAGUGAAGGAUCGAGCUCGUCGUCCGACGACUACUCUGUGACAAGUGAGGUUAGUUCUUGACUAUGUCUGUGGCAGUUAGGGAUUGAGCAAAAAUGGGGAAGGGUGUAUGUUCUUGAGUAGCAAAAUUUCAGCAUAGAUGAUGCCUGCCUCUUUGCUGACUAGAAUAUGUUGUAAACAAUGUUGUAGGCUCCUGCUCCUGCCAUCAUUUUCUGCUCUGAGUGGACAGGCCUUGCUCCAGAUCUUGCAGCUAGAUGUGAACACCAGUGUGUGUGUGAGAAGUUUGUGUGCUUUGAAUCAGUUGACAGUGGAAGGAGGUAUCUUGCUUGUGCACAAAAGGUUAGUAGAUCUACCAAACUUGCAAUGUGUCAUCUUACUUUGAUCUGUAUAAGAGUGUGCCAUGUAAAUGUGGAGGAGUGCAUUUUCAGUUAAGAGCAUCUAGUUUGUGAGCUUAAUUGAAUCUUUGAGUUAACAGCAUCUUGUUAGUGAACUUAACUGAAUUCAAAUGAACUAACUGAACUGAACUGAAUUUAAAUGAAAUAACAGAACUUAACUGAAUUAGAAUGAAAUAGCUGAACUUAUCUGAAUUUAAAUUCAGUUAACUGAACUUAACUGAAUUCAAAUGAACUAACUGAAUUCUAUCUUAUCUGUUAGGAAAUACCUAAAUGCAAGUUUGUGGAGUGGAUUGACCCUGAAUGGCCUGCCACUCUGAAGAUGAGUUUAGCCAGGGUUUGGGGCAUGUAUGAUGAUGAGAACAAGCUAAGGCUCAGGGAAAGUGUAGUUGCUGAAGAAAAUUUUAGGGUUGUGAAAGAGAAGGAAAAGAUGGAAAAUGAUCUGAGGUUUUUUAAACUAGAUUUUGCUAAGAUGGUGGGUGACAAGGAGCGGGAAAUUACUGAAUUGGGCAAUGCAAGACUUGCUCUUUCUGACCUAAAGGAAGAGCUUGAGAAGAAGUUGUCUGAUAAAUCUACCACUAGCAUUCAUCAGGUUCUGAGGGCUAAGGCAGAGAAAGAGAGGGAUGAGAUGAAGCAACAGAUGGACAACAUGAAGGAAGAGUUGGACAAAGUGGUGUCACAGAGGGAUGAGCUGAAGAAGGAGAAGAAGAAACUAGAGUACAUGAUUGGUGAUCUAUUCAGGCACAAGGAGGAGACCAAGAGCAAGAUAAGGAGGUUGAAGGAGAUCUUAGAUGAAUUUGAGUAAUUCAUUGUUGGUGCAAUGCUGCCUUAAGUUGGAGCUAUUAAUUAGUUGUACUUCUUUAUUGAACUUGGUUGAUUUGUAUGCCAGUAUUAUCUAAGGCACUGAAUUUGUAUGACUGCUUUUAGUUAACUGAAUUUGUAUGACUGCCCAAGUUAUGUUGUUGCAAGGUGUUAUUAGACUGAAUUUGCUUUUAGUUAACUGAAUUUGUAUGACUGAAUUUGCAAGGUGUUAUUAGAUAACUGAAUUUUUGACAGUGUUACUGAAUAUUCAGUAAACUGAACGACCAGUUCACUGAAGAUUCAGUUACAUGCAAAUGUAGUUAACUCAAUUUGUCUCUCUCUGUUUGCAUGUCCAGUUUCCUGAAUUUAUAGUUAAAUGGAUUAUGAGUCUAACCGAAUUCUAGUUAACCGUAUCAGUUAACUAUAGAGUUAACUGUAUUUGUUUCAGUUAACAUGACUUUAACUGAAGAUAAGUUAUUUAACUGUAUUUGUUUCAGUUAACAAGAGUUUAACUGAACUCUAGUAAAAAUGUGCAGAAUUGGAACUAAACAGAGAAUAAGUAGUAUAGAUUUAGUACAUUGCAGUAAGAGUUAACUGACUCAUACAUAGAUAGAACACUGACUCAUAUAUAGAUAAAACUCUGACUCAUACAUAGAUAAAACACACUCACUCAUACAUAGAUAAAACACUCACUCAUACAUAGAUAGACUUGCAUUGACAUGCAGUGCAUUCAUACAUAGAUAGAAGAGCCAGGAGCAAUGGGGUGUUUAAGAGCUCAAUCAUCUGGGUAGAGAAUCCUACUCCACCUCAUCCUAGUGACCUGAAAAGGAUGGAGAUUAGCCCUCCUCCUUGCCCAGUAGAUGAUAUCAUCAUCACUAGGGUUUGAUCCAGGUGGGAAUGCCUCCAGGAACUGCUAUACAUCCUUGCGGUUGCGUGCUGCAAGGAUCCUCUCUGCCAGUUGCCUUCUUUGCAACCUUCUGGCCUCUCUACGCCUAGCUCCACUGGGUACCUCUUCUGCAUCUACUACCUCUCCAGGAUCCAUGUCCUCCUAGGGUUCUCUCUGGCGGCUGGGGGGAGGAGAAGUGAGGGAUUUGGCUUUGACUGGUGUUUGUGCCAAUUGGGUAUGCUUUAUAUAGAAGUAAGAGGGGUGGGUGGUAGGCAGGCAGAGGUAAAUCUGGGUGGUGGGUGGCUGGUAGCCCAUUAUUGUGGGCUAAUAUUAGGCAGGGAAUUAAAAACAAGCCAAUUUAGUUACUGGCUAAUAUUAGUUACUGGCUAAAUUUAGCUAAUUUGUAUUCAGUAAGUAUAACUUAAUUUGUAUUCAGUAAACUCAUUUUAACUGAAUUUGUAUUUGUAUUCAGUAAGCUUAACUUAACUGAAUUUGUAUUCAAUACACUCAUUUUAACUGAAUUUGUAUUUGUAUUUAGUAAGCUUAACUGAAUUUGUUUCAGUAAACUCAUUUUAACUGAAUUUGUAUUUGUAUUCAGUAAGCUUAACUGAAUUUGUUUCAGUAAACUCAUUUUAACUGAACAGCAACAUUUUGUAGCAGCAUAUACAACUAACAACAGCACCAACAACAUAUGAAAGCAACAGAUGGCAACGUACAUAUAACUUAGGUAGUUGCAGCAUAAGUUCAACCCAUAGGCAGUUGCAGCAGUAGUUCAACACAUACCAAAAGUAGUUCAAACAUAUAUGAAGCACACCUAAGUACUAACUGAUAUGCUAAGUUAUAUGCUACUCAGCAUACCUAACUACAUUCUGCAGUCUUCAGUUCUUCAGUUCUUGAGCUCCUUCAGAUGCUGGGAGCGGCGCACCUCCCCUACAACUUGAAUCUUCGUCGGCUUCUUCCUCUUCUUCGAGCCAUCCCGUGCUUGCCCGUCCACCACCUCCUCCAGCACCUCCUCCACCACCUCCUUCUUGACAAUGUCAGGCACCUCUGGCAGCAGGUCCACGUCAAUGGGGAGGUCUCUGUCGCCCUUAUUGCCGACGACGACGGGAGCCAACAUGACGACGUCGUCCGGCUCGUCGUCAGAUAGCACCACCACCUCUAUCUCCUCCUCGCCUGAAGACUCGCUAUCCGGCUUGUAGCCAGAGUCAGAGUCGGAGUCGUCGGAGUAGGAUUCAUCGUCGGAGGAGGGUUGGACGUCGGAGACGUCAUCGUGGACUAGCGUGUCAGGCUUGAAGCGGUCCCAGUAGGCGGUGUUGACCGGCACGGGGAGGGCGAGGACGACGUCGUCGACGCGCUGCAUCCUGGAGGCAACGCGGAACGGAUCCGGGUGCGGCGACGGCGUGGUGGCGGAGCGGUACAUCCACCACCGCGCGCGCUGCCUCGGAUCGUCGGACCGCGUCUCGGCCAGCGAAGCGCAAGACCAGGACCGGAGCUACGCCGGGUGCGGGCUGUUGGGGAACGUAGCAGAAAUUCAAAAUUUUCUACGCAUCACCAAGAUCAAUCUAUGGAGUAAUCUAGCAACGAGGGGAAGGGGAGUGCAUCUACAUACCAUUGUAGAUCGCGAUGCGGAAGUGUUGCAAGAACGCGGAUGAGGGAGUCGUACUCGUAGCGAUUCAGAUCACGGUUGAUUCCGAUCUAAGCACCGAAGAACGGUGCCUCCGCGUUCAACACACGUGCAGCCCGGUGACGUCUCCCACGCCUUGAUCCAGCAAGGAGAGAGGGAGAGGUUGGGGAAGACUCCAUCCAGCAGCAACACGACGGCGUGGUGGUGAUGGAGGAGCGUGGCAAUCCCGUAGGGCUUCGCCAGGCACCGCGGGAGAGGAGGAGGAGGGAGAGGGGUAGGGCUGCGCCGAAAGAGAGACGUUCUCAUGUCUAUGGCAGCCCCAAAACCCCAAUAUAUAUAGGGGAGGGGGAGGGCUGCGCCCCCAUCCAGGGUUCCCCCCCAAGGGGUGCGGCCAGCCCUAGAUGGGGCUUGGGGGGGCGGCCAAGGGGUGGAGAGAGGGGGGCGCCCCACUAGAUGGGACUUAGGCCCAUCUGAGACUAGAGUUUCCCCCUUUCCCCCCUUUCCUGUGCCCUGGGCCUCUUGUGGGGGGGCGCACCAGCCCACCUGGGGCUGGUCCCCUCCCACACUUGGCCCACGCAGCCCUCUGGGGCCGGUGGCCCCACCUGGUGGACCCCCGGGACCCUCCCGGUGGUCCCGGUACAUUACCGAUAUCACCCGAAACUUUUCCGGUGACCAAAACAGGACUUCCCAUAUAUAAAUCUUUACCUCCGGACCAUUCCGGAACUCCUCGUGAUGUCCGGGAUCUCAUCCGGGACUCCGAACAACAUUCGGUAACCACGUACAUACUUUCCCUAUAACCCUAGCGUCAUCGAACCUUAAGUGUGUAGACCCUACGGGUUCGGGAACCAUGCAGACAUGACCGAGACGUUCUCCGGUCAAUAACCAACAGCGGGAUCUGGAUACCCAUGUUGGCUCCCACAUGUUCCACGAUGAUCUCAUCGGAUGAACCACGAUGUCGGGGAUUCAAUCAAUCCCGUAUGCAAUUCCCUUUGUCUAUCGAUAUGUUACUUGCCCGAGAUUCGAUCGUCGGUAUCCCUAUACCUUGUUCAAUCUCGUUACCGGCAAGUCUCUUUACUCGUUCUGUAACUCACAUCAUCCCGUGAUCAACUCCUUGGUCACAUUGUGCACAUUAUGAUGAUGUCCUACCGAGUGGGCCCAGAGAUACCUCUCCGUUUACACGGAGUGACAAAUCCCAGUCUCGAUUCGUGCCAACCCAACAGACACUUUCGGAGAUACCUGUAGUGCACCUUUAUAGCCACCCAGUUACGUUGUGACGUUUGGUACACCCAAAGCAUUCCUACGGUAUCCGGGAGUUGCACAAUCUCAUGGUCUAAGGAACUGAUACAUGACAUUAGAAAAGCUCUGAGCAAACGAACUACACGAUCUUGUGCUAGGCUUAGGAUUGGGUCUCGUCCAUCACAUCAUUCUCCUAAUGAUGUGAUCCCGUUAUCAACGACAUCCAAUGUCCAUGGUCAGGAAACCGUAACCAUCUAUUGAUCAACGAGCUAGUCAACUAGAGGCUUACUAGGGACAUGGUGUUGUCUAUGUAUCCACACAUGUAUCUGAGUUUCCUAUCAAUACAAUUCUAGCAUGGAUAAUAAACGUUUAUCAUGAACAAGGAAAUAUAAUAAUAACCAAUUUAUUAUUGCCUCUAGGGCAUAUUUCCAACAGUCUCCCACUUGCACUAGAGUCAAUAAUCUAGUCCACAUCACCAUGUGAUUAACACUCAUAGGUCACAUCACCAUGUGACCAACACCCAAGAGUUUACUAGAGUCAACAAUCUAGUUCACAUCACCAUGUGAUUAACACUCAAUGAGUUCUGGUUUGAUCAUGUUAUGCUUGUGAGAGAGGUUAUUAGUCAACGGGUCUGAACCUUUCAGAUCCGUGUGUGCUUUACGAAUAUCUAUGUCAUCUUGUGGAUGCUACCACGCGCUACUUGGAGCCAUUUCAAGUAAUUGCUCUACUAUACGAAUCCGGUUUACUACUCAGAGUCAUCCGGAUUAGUGUCAAAGUUCGCAUCGACGUAACCCUUUACGACGAACUCCUUUUCACCUCCAUAAUCGAGAAAAUUCCUUAGUCCACUAGAUACUAAGGAUAAGUUCGACCGCUGUCAUGUGAUCCAUUACCGGAUCACUAUUGUACCCCUUGACCAACUCAUGGCAAGGCACACUUCAUGUGCGGUACACAGCAUAGCAUACUGUAGAGCCUACGUCUGAAGCAUAGGGGACGACCUUCGUCCUUUCUCUCUCUUCUGUUGUGGUCAGGUCUUGAGUCUUACUCAAUACUCACACCUUGUAACACAGCCAAGAACUCCUUCUUUGCUGAUCUAUUUUGAACUCUUUCAAAAUCUUGUCAAGGUGUGCGUUCUUUGAAAGUAUCAUCGGGCGUCUUGAUACAUCUCUAUAGAUCUUGAUGCCCAAUAUGUAAGCAGCUUUAUCCAGGUCUUCCUUUGAAAAACUCCUUUCAAACAACCCUUUAUGCUUUCCAGAAAUUUUACAUCAUUUCGGAUCAACAAUAUGUCAUUCACAUAUACUUAUCAGAAAUGUUGUAGCGCUCCCACUCACUUUAUUGUAAAUACAAGUUUCUAACAAACUUUGUAUAAACCCAAAAACUUUGAUCACUCCAUCAAAGCGUAUAUUCUGACUCCGAGAUGCUUGCUCUAGUCCAUGGAAGGAUCGUUGGAGCUAGCAUACCUUUUAGCAUCCUUAGGAUCGACAAAACCUUUCUGAUUGUAUCACAUACAACCUUUCCUUACGAAAACUGGUAAGGAAACUUGUUUUGACAUCCAUCUGCCAGAUUUCACAAAUGCAGCUAAUGCUAACAUGAUUCCGACGGACUUAAGCAUCGCUACGGAUGAGAAAAUCUCAUCGUAGUCAAAUCCUUGAACUUGUGGAAAUAUUCUUUGCCACAAGUCGAGCUUCAUAGACGGUAACAUUACCGUCCAUGUCCGUCUUCUUCUUAAAGAUCCAUUUAUCUCGGAUUUCAUGGCUUCUAACCAUUUGUCGGAAUAUGGGCCCACCAUCGCUUCUCCAUAGCUCAUAGGUUCAUCGUUGUCCAACAACAUGACUUCCAAGACAGGAUCACGUACUACUCUGAAGUAUUACGCAUCCUCGUCGUCCUACGAGGUUUGGUAGUGACUUGAUCCGAAGUUUCAUGAUCACCAUCAUAAGCUUCCACUUCAAUUGGUGUAGGUGCCACAGGAACAACUUCCUGUGCCCUGCUACACACUAGUUGAAGUGACGGUUCAAUAACCUUAUCAAGUCUCCACCAUCCUCCCACUCAAUUCUUUCGAGAGAAACUUUUCCUCGAGAAAGGACUCGUUUCUAGAAGCAAUUACUUUUGCUUCCAGAGCUGAAAUAGGAGGUAUACCCAACUGUUUUGGGUAUUCUAUGAAGAUGCAUUUAUCCGCUUUGGGUUCGAGCUUAUCAGCUUGAAACUUUUUCACAUAAGCAUCGCAGCCCCAAACUUUUAAGAAACAACAACUUAGGUUUCUCUAAACGGAAUUGCAUGGUGCCCCUUUUAAAGUGAAUGCGGUUAUCUCUAAUGCCUAACCCAUAAACGAUAGUGGUAAUUCGAUAAGAGACAUCAUGGUAUGCACCAUAUCCAAUAGGGUGCAGUUAUGAUGUUCGGACAGACCAUCACACUAUGGUGUUCCAGGCGGUAUUAAUUGUGAAACACUUUCCACAAUGUCUUAAUUGUGUGCCAAACUCGUAACUCAGAUACUCAUCUCUAUGAUCAUAUCACAGACAUUUUAUCCUCUUGUCACGACGAUCUUCAACUUCACUCUGAAAUUACUUGAACCUUUCAAUAAUUCAGACUUGUUUUUCAUCAAGUAAAUACACUCGGCAUCUACUCAAAUCAUCUGUGAAGUAAGAACAUAACGAUAUCCACUGCAUGCCUCAGCACUCAUUGGGCUGCAUACAUCAAAAUGUAUUACUUCCAAUAAGUUGCUCUCUUGUUCCAUCUUACUGAAAACGAGGCCUUUCAGUCAUCUUGCCCAUGUGGUAUGAUUUGCAUGUCUCAAGUGAUUCGAAAUCAAGUGAGUCCAAACGAUCCAUCUGCAUGGAGUUUCUUCAUGCAUAUAUACCAAUAGACAUGGUUCGCAUGUCUCAAUCUUUUCAAAAAAUGAGUGAGUCCAAAGAUCCAUCUACAUGGAGCUUCUUCAUGCGUUCUAUACCAAUAUGACUCAAAUAGCAGUGCCACAAGUAUGUGGUACUAUCAUUACUUUUGGCAUGAACAUGUGUAUCAGUACGAUCGAGAUUCAUUUUAGGUGCAAGACCAUUGAAGGUAUUAUUCAAAUAAACAGAAUAACCAUUAUUCUCCUUAAAUGAAUAACUGUAUUGUGAUAAACAUAAUCCAAUCAUGCUCAACGCAAACACCAAAUCUCGAUGGUAGAGGGAGCAUGCGAUGCUUGAUCACAUCAACCUUGGAAACACUUCCAACACAUAUCGUCAUCUCACCUUUAGCUAGUCUCCGUUUGUUCCGCAGCUUUUAUUUCGUGUUACUAACACUUAGCAACCGAACUGGUAUCUAAUACCCUGGUGCUGCUAGGAGUACUAGUAAAGUACACAUUCAUAUAAUGUAUAUCCAAUAUACUUCUGUCGACCUUGCCUGCCUUCUCAUCUACCAAGUAUCUAGGGUAGUACUGCUUCAGUGACCGUUUCCCUCAUUACAGAAGCACUUAGUCUCGGGUUUGGGUUCAACCUUGGGAUUCUCCACUAGAGCAGCAAAUGACUCGUUGUUUCAUAAAGUAUCCCUUUUUCCCUUGCCCUUCUUAAACUAGUGGUUUUACUAACCAUCAACAAUUGAUGCUCCUUCUUGAUUUCUACUUUCGCGGUGUCAAACAUCGCGAAUAGCUCAAGGAUCAUCAUAACUAUCCCUGAUAUGUUAUAGUUCAUCACGAAGCUCUACUAGCUUGGUGGCAGUGACUAUGGAGAACCAUCACUAUCUCAUCUGGGAGAUUAACUCCCACUCUAUUCAAGCGAUUGUGGUACUCAGACAAUCUGAGCACAUGCUCAACGAUUAAGCUUUUCUCCCUUAGUUUUCAGGCUUAAGAAACUUGUCAGAGGUCUCAUACCUCUUGACGUGGGCACUAGUCUGAAAUCCCAAUUUCAGUCUUCGGAACAUCUCAUAUGUUCUGCGACGUUUCAAAAACCGUCUUUGGUGCCACAAUUCAAAACCGUUAGCAUUACGCAUUGAACUAUCACGUAGUCAUCAAAACGUGUAGGUCAGAUGUUUCGUAACAUCUACAGACGACGCUGAGGUUCAGCACACCGAGCGGUGCAUUUAGGACAUAAGCCUUCUGUGCAGCAAUGAGGACACUCCUCAGUUUACGGACCCAGUCCGCAUAAUUGCUACUAUUAACUUUCAACUAAAUUUUCUCUAGGAACAUAUCUUAAACAGUAGAACUAAAGCGUAUGACAUAAUUUGCAAAGACCUUUUGACUAUGUUCAUGAUAAUGAAGUUCAUCUGAUUAUUGAACUCCCACUCAGAUAGACAUCCCUCUAGUCAUCUAAGUGAUACAUGAUCCGAGUCAAACUAGGCCGUGUCCGAUCAUCACGUGAGACGGACUAGUCAUCAUCGGUGAACAUCUCCAUGUUGAUCGUAUCUGCUAUACGACUCAUGUUCGACCUUUCGGUCUCUUGUGUUCCGAGGCCAUGUCUGUACAUGCUAGGCUCGUCAAGUCAACCUAAGUGUUUUGCAUGUGUUCCGAGGCCAUGUCUGUACAUGCUAGGCUCGUCAACACCUGUUGUAUUUGAAUGUUAGAAUCUAUCACACCCGAUCAUCACGUGGUGCUUCGAAACAACGAACCUUCGCAACGGUGCACAGUUAGGGGGAACUCAUCUCUUGAAAUUUUUAGUGAGGGAUCAUCUUACUUACUACCGUCGUUCUAAGCAAAUAAGAUGCAUAACAUGAUAAACAUCACAUGCAAUCAAAUAGUGACAUGAUAUGGCCAAUAUCAUUUUGCUCCUUUGAUCUCCAUCUUCGGGGCACCAUGAUCAUCUUUGUCACCGGCAUGACACCAUGAUCUCCAUCAUCAUGGUCUCCAUCAUUGUGUCUUCAUGAAGUUGUCACGCCAACGAUUACUUCUACUUCUAUGGCUAACGUGCUUAGCAAUAAAGUAAAGUAAUUUACAUGGCGUUAUUCAAUGACACGCAGGUCAUACAAAAAAUAAAGACAACUCCUAUGGCUCCUGCCGGUUGUCAUACUCAUCGACAUGCAAGUCGUGAUUCCUAUUACAAGAAUAUGAUCAAUCUCAUACAUCACAUAUAUCAUUCAUCACAUCUUCUGGCCAUAUCACAUCACAUAGCACAUGCUGCAAAAACAAGUUAGACGUCCUCUAAUUGUUGUUGCAAGUUUUUACGUGGCUUGUAUAGGUUUCUAGCAAGAACGUUUCUUACCUACGUAAAACCACAACGUGAUAUGCCAAUUUCUAUUUACCCUUCAUAAGGACCCUUUUCAUCGAAUCCGUUCCGACUAAAGUAGGAGAGACAGACACCCGCUAGCCACCUUAUGCAACUAGUGCAUGUCAGUCGGUGGAACCUGUCUCACGUAAGCGUACGUGUAAGGUCGGUCCGGGCCGCUUCAUCCCACAAUGCCGCCGAAACAAGAUAAGACUAGUAGCGGCAAGAAGAAUUUGCAACAUCUACGCCCACAACUACUUUGUGUUCUACUCGUGCAUAGAAACUACGAAUAGACCUAGCUCAUGAUGCCACUGUUGGGGAACGUAACAGAAAUUCAAAAUUUUCUACGCAUCACCAAGAUCAAUCUAUGGAGUAAUCUAGCAACGAGGGGAAGGGGAGUGCAUCUACAUACCAUUGUAGAUCGCGAUGCGGAAGCGUUGCAAGAACGCGGAUGAGGGAGUCGUACUCGUAGAGAUUCAGAUCACGGUUGAUUCCGAUCUAAGCACUGAAGAACGGUGCCUCCGCGUUCAACACACGUGCAGCCCGGUGACGUCUCCCACGCCUUGAUCCAGCAAGGAGAGAGGGAGAGGUUGGGGAAGACUCCAUCCAGCAGCAACACGACGGCGUGGUGGUGAUGGAGGAGCGUGGCAAUCCCGCAGGGCUUCGCCAGGCACCGUGGGAGAGGAGGAGGAGGGAGAGGGGUAGGGCUGCGCCGAAAGAGAGACGUUCUCAUGUCUAUGGCAGCCCCAAAACCCCAAUAUAUAUAGGGGAGGGGGAGGGCUGCGCCCCCAUCUAGGGUUCCCCCCCAAGGGGUGCGGCCAGCCCUAGAUGGGGCUUGGGGGGCGGCCAAGGGGUGGAGAGAGGGGGGCGCCCCACUAGAUGGGCCUUAGGCCCAUCUGAGACUAGGGUUUCCCCCUUUCCCCCCUUUCCUGCGCCCUGGGCCUCUUGUGGGGGGGCGCACCAGCCCACCUGGGGCUGGUCCCCUCCUACACUUGGCCCACGCAGCCCUCUGGGGCCGGUGGCCCCACCUGGUGGACCCCCGGAACCCUCCCGGUGGUCCCGGUACAUUACCGAUAUCACCCGAAACUUUUCUGGUGACCAAAACAGGACUUCCCAUAUAUAAAUAUUUACCUCCGGACCAUUCCGGAACUCCUCGUGACGUCCGGGAUCUCAUCCGGGACUCCGAACAACAUUCGGUAACCACGUACAUACUUUCCCUAUAACCCUAGCGUCAUCGAACCUUAAGUGUGUAGACCCUAUGGGUUCGGGAACCAUGCAGACAUGACCGAGACGUUCUCCGGUCAAUAACCAACAGCUGGAUCUGGAUACCCAUGUUGGCUCCCACAUGUUCCACGAUGAUCUCAUCGGAUGAACCACGAUGUCGAGGAUUCAAUCAAUCCCGUAUGCAAUUCCCUUUGUCUAUCGAUAUGUUACUUGCCCGAGAUUCGAUCGUCGGUAUCCCUAUACCUUGUUCAAUCUCGUUACCGGCAAGUCUCUUUACUCAUUCCGUAACUCACAUCAUCCCGUGAUCAACUCCUUGGUCACAUUGUGCACAUUAUGAUGAUGUCCUACCGAGUGGGCCCAGAGAUACCUCUCCGUUUACACGGAGUGACAAAUCCCAGUCUCGAUUCGUGCCAACCCAACAGACACUUUCGGAGAUACCUGUAGUGCACCUUUAUAGCCACCCAGUUACGUUGUGACGUUUGGUACACCCAAAGCAUUCCUACGGUAUCCGGGAGUUGCACAAUCUCAUGGUCUAAGGAACUGAUACAUGACAUUAGAAAAGCUCUGAGCAAACGAACUACACGAUCUUGUGCUAGGCUUAGGAUUGGGUCUCGUCCAUCACAUCAUUCUCCUAAUGAUGUGAUCCCGUUAUCAACGACAUCCAAUGUCCAUGGUCAGGAAACCGUAACCAUCUAUUGAUCAACGAGCUAGUCAACUAGAGGCUUACUAGGGACAUGGUGUUGUCUAUGUAUCCACACAUGUAUCUGAGUUUCCUAUCAAUACAAUUCUAGCAUGGAUAAUAAACGUUUAUCAUGAACAAGGAAAUAUAAUAAUAACCAAUUUAUUAUUGCCUCUAGGGCAUAUUUCCAACACGGGCAUGGCGCGACGCUUCUCGUCGUCAGUCAUGACCUUUACGAGGCGACGCGCGUGGUGGAGGAGCAUCUCGCCGGAGGGGAACCACCGCGCUAUCUCCUUCAGGUCCGCGCGGAGCGCGUCGUCGUCGCCGGCCAGAUCCUCGAUGGCCCUCUGCCAUGCGGGGGUGUUGUCCAUGGUGGCGGCAACGGCGUGGAGCUCGGCGGCGAGGGUUUUCUUGGUGGAGCGGGGUGGCGGGGAGACCGAGGAGCGAGCUGCGAUGUGGGUGGACUGGGAGCGAGGUGGAGUUGAGUGGAGUUGAGCUAGUGGAGUUGAGGUGGUUGGCUUUAAAGGCCUAGGAAACCGAAUCGGCGGAGCGACCGAGCUAGUGGAACGGUGGGUCUGCUUAACUAUAGUGCGUGGUACUAUCUAAACAAAUCACUACUACUAUCACACUGGCAAUACAGUUAGGUUUGCUAUUCACAGGUCCUGGGUUCGAUACCCAGGACAAACAAUUUUUUAAAAAAAUUAUUUUUAAUUAACAACAGCAGUAUUCACUCCAAUACUCACUUAACAACAACAGUAUUGAUUCCAAAACAUUUUUAAAGUUUUUUUAGUCAAUAGCAGCAAAAUUCACUUCAGUUAACACCACAGAAUUUAGUUAAAUUCAGUGAACAACAAAAUUCAGAUAUGUUGCAACAUUCAGGUAUCUUCCAAGAUUCAAAUGUCUUCCGGCAUUCAGUUAACUCCUAAUUAUAAUAUUUAAUUACAAAAAGGGCAAUGUAUGCCAUGGUUUGCCAUCCAGAAAUUAGGCAAUAUAUGCCACAUUUUGCCAUCAACAAGGAGGCAAUUUAUGCCAUAGUUUGACAUAACAAAAAAGGCCAAUUUAUGAGUUACAUAAGUAUAGGCCAUGUCAAAAAAUGGUGCCUGAGAACUGCCACUAGAUCAGGCAGCAGGAAAAUCAUCAGGAGGAGCAUUUAGGUCAGGAAUAUGACUGGCAAUGUCAUCUCCAAACAUCAGCCACCAUGCCCUCUCACCUGCUUGGCCUCCUCUUCCUCUCCCUGCAUCUGAAUUUUCUCCUCUCCAUGCAUUCACAUUACUACCUCCUCUCCCUCUCCCAGCACCUGGAUUUGCUCCUCUCCCUCUCCCAGCACCUGGAUUUGCUCCUCUCCCUCUCUCAGCACCUGCAUUUGCUCCUCUCCCUCUCCCAGCACCUGCACUUGCUCCCUCCACUGACCCUGCAUCUGCACUGGCACCUCUUCCUAGAGCUGAAACUCCACUUGCUCCCCUUCCUCUUCUUGCAUUUGGAUGUACCUCUCCUCUGCCUCUCCUUUUCUUUCCUCUUGCAAUGUCAGCUGUAGUUCUUGCCCUGGUCUGCCUAGCAAUAUUCAUUUCUGUAGUCACCCUGGGUUGUGGUAUUUCAGCCCCAGCAGCAGCAACAAAUGAAGAGAGCUCAGGCAGUGGGCCAUGGACUCUUUGAGAAGGUCUUCUUGCUCUUUCCCUGCUGGCCAUGUUAAAAACCAUACUAGUUGGUGACUCAGUAGGAUCCAACCUAGGAUCUGGCCUGUUUGGAAAGAUGUUCUGCAAAGAAAGAUGUUCAGAUAAGCUCAUUUUUGGGAGUUCAUGCAUUAGAGCCAACUGUGCAAAAUGAGAUGCAACAGAAGCAUACCUGAAGAAAUGUUGGAUCAUCAUAGUUAUCAUCAACAAGCUCUACUCCUUCUGCAAUUAGUGCUUCCUGCCACCUGUAGUGCCCUUUCCUGUUGUGGUCAGCUCUGCCACAAAUUGAGCAGUGCAUUGUCACACCUUUUUUGUUCAAAUAUCUAACACCAUUCCUGCUUCUCUUCUCUUCUGGUGUUUUCUUCCUGUUUUUCUUUGGCCUUCCCAACUGUUUAGUGAAAACUGGUGGAUAUACUUUGUCUCCAUUCUGUUUCUCCCAAUGCUUUGGAUCUCUAAGUGGAACCAGAGUGUAUCCAUAUGCUUUCAGAUAAUUCUCCACAGUGUAGCAGUCAUGAACCAUUGUCACUGGGUCAAUUCUCUCCUCCCUGCAGCAUGCUAUACUAUGGCCACAUGGUACUCCAGAGAGCUGCCAUCUCCUGCAGUCACAAGUGUGCAAGCACAAGUCAACUGUAUAACUAUAGUUACCAGAUUGAACUCUGAACAAUUGUUGGCCAGCUUCAGAGACAUGGCAAUUAGCAGCAAACUCGGUGUUCUUGUCUAGUUUCUUCUUGAUCUUUGGGCAUAUUCUCUGCCCUGCCCACUUCUCUAUGGCCUCUCUCUGUUUACUCACUAGCCUUUGCAUGAUCUUGUAAAAAAUGUAUUCCAGCAUGGACAGCAGUGGCAUCUCUCUGCCCUCCAGAAUGUAGCUGUUAAAUACUUCAGAGUUAUUGUUCAGCGGAAUAUCACACUUGGGAAAGACACUAAAAAAUGAUUUACACCAUGUCUUUGGAUCAAGUCUUUCAGUCUAGUGGAAGGCAGCUGCACUGUGUCCAUCCAUUUUCUCACAGUUUUGGCUCCACUUAACCCUGUUUGGUGCUCUUGCAAUGGCCCACAGAUCUUGCUUCAGUUGCUCUCCUUUGUGCUUCUCAUUGAGAUUCUGAUAAAUAUGCCUAACACAAAACCUAUGCUCAGCAUCUGGCCAGAUUUUUUGCACAGCAUUGAUCAAACCUUUCUGCUUGUCACUCAUAAUAGUGAAAGGAGCAGUAUUUGUGAUGUUAAGGUCAUCUCUCAAUGUAGUGAGAAACCACUCCCAAGAACUGGUGCACUCUACUUCUACCCAACCCAUUGCAAUGGGGAAAUGCAGUCAUUAGGAUCAAUACCCACUGCACUAAGCAACACUCCUUUAAACCUAUUUUUCAUGUGACAACCAUCAAUGAAAAUAAUAGGCCUGCAUCCCUUGAGCCAACCCCUUUUGCAUGCAUCAUAAGACCAAUAUAGAGUUUUCAGACAUUUCCUGCCCUGUGGGAAAUCUUUGUCUCUAACAACCUCAGUUGACAGGAGAAAUGUAGACCCAGGGUUGGUAUUCCUCAAUUCAUGACCAUAGUCCCUAAACCUACUGAACUACUCUUCUUCAUCACCAUGGAUCUCCUUAAGUGCUGCAGUUCUUGCCCUAGCUAGCUUCCAUCUGUUAGGGGUGACAUGAAAUUCAUUGGUGAUCUUUCUUGAAAAUGUACCUAGUGACAUCUUCUCGUCAUCUCUGAACUCAUUUAUGAAAUACUUGCACAGGAAUUUUGCUGUCAGUGACCUUAUCUUCCAUUUCUUCUGACAUAUAUGUUCUCCAUAGUAAGUCUUGAUGAGAAACCCCCUGUCCUGUUGUCAUUGCCAGCAUACAGAAACCAUGGGCAACCAUUUUCACAAACUGCUUCAAGUCUCCUCUUGUCAUUCUUUAUCUUCUUGAUCUGCACUCUGUUUCUAACUGAAUAUGCAGUCAGUGCAUGUCUUAGCUCAACCACAUCAGCAAAUACCAUCCCUACUUUAAACACAGGGGAAAUCAUGUCCACCUUUGCAUUGAAAGCUUUAAACUUGUACCUAAGUUCAUCUGCUUGCUCAGUUGAUAGGUUGAGAUCUUCAUCCUCAAGCAAGUAUUCAGGCUCCACAUCAUCCUCAUCCUGAUCAGCUUCUUCAUCAACAUCAAAGUCAAUGUUGUCAUUAUAAAGAUCAUCAUCACCAUCAUCUAUGUCAUAGUCACUGUCACUGAAAUCAGAAUCCGAAACAACUACAUCUUCAAUAACUGUUUCUCCAUCUUCAAUUAGCAUGUUGUGCUCAGCACCCUCAAUAAGCAAACUCUGUGGGUCUGUUCCAAUUGGUGCAAUCUCUAACAAGGGAUCUUCAGUUAGCAUGUUCUGCUCAGCACCCUCAAUAAGCAAACUCUCUGGGUCUGUUCCAUUUGCUACAAUCUCUGACAAAGGAUCUUCUACAAAGACUGAAACUAGGCUAUGGGAAGGGGAUGCAUUUGCUGCUGCAAAACUUGUUGUUGAUGUUAUGAAAGAUAGGGGCAAUGUGCACACCAGGUCAGACCUGAAGUUGCUGAUGAAAUCUGUAUGGUCAACCAUGACUACAAGCAUCUUAUGCUCAGCACUAGCUCUGAUAAUAUGUUGCACAUCCUCAUCACUGCUAAUUCUCAUCAAACCAUCUGAGGUUGGUUUAUUUGGUUUGCUGAAGUAAAUGAUGUGCUCACUCACAGGAUAUCCCAACCAAACCAAGUGUUGUUCAAGGAAUGCAUAAGAGAAAGUGCUAGAGUCAACAAAGUCUAGCACCUCAACAGAAGGGUUCCAGUACUCCAGGUUUCUGAUUGGGCCACAGAAAAUUCCACCAUGCUCAAGUUCCAGUGUAAAAAAUGGACUGUCCACCCUUUCUCCAUUUGCUGCGUCACACACUGUAUUCAAAACAAACAUGCAUCAGUUGAGAAACAAAUAUUCAGUUAACUGAAUAAAUUAGUCAAUUGCAUCAGAUUUAACAUACUUGAACAACAGCUUAAGGUUCAGUUAACUGAACCUUUCAGUUACUUACAAUAAGCUGAAGAAGAUUCAGUUAACUACAGUACUUGACAAAAUUCUGAUAACUACAGUAACUGAAAAUAUUCAGUUAACUACAGUAACUGAACAUAUUCACUGAACUACAGAUAACUGAACAUAUUCAGUGAACUUAUAUAAACUAACCAUAAAUGAAAUACAAGAUUAGCACAACAUUAACACAAACCAUUCAAUUCACUGAAACUUAGCUGCACAUACCAUUAGCAUUACCAAAACACUCACUAAAUGGUGUAACAAAAUAGCCAAGUUUAUACUCUGUACAAAACAUCUUCAACAGCAAAAAGGAGUUAAAUUUCACAACACGAACAGAUGCUUGAGUAGAGUACAUGCUAAAGUAGAACGAAAAGCCAACUACAAAGGCAUUAACAUCUAAUUUGUCUGCCAUAAACCCUAGCUAUCGUGUCGAACCCAAACCUAAAUUCCUCGGCCGAAACCCUAGCUCCACUUCGCCAUACAUGACCCUACUCAGAAAACACCACUAGACGACCCCGAUUCGAGCACAAAUGGACGCGAUUCGAGCUGCAAACGGCGGGGCGACGAGCCCAGCGGAGCAAAGCAGAGGAGAGGGAGGAAAAGAAAGCAGAGACGGGGCAUCGAGCUCACAGUAAUCAGGAGGGAAUGCACCCAACGGCCGGACGAGAUGAGCAGAUGCCGGCAUCUCCACGCCGCCGGCGAACGGCGGCGACGACGCCUCCAUCGAUGACGUCACCAUCGCCCCGCCAGCCCGUGAGCUCUGUCGCCCCGACAGCGACCAACUGAACCCUCUCGACCGGACGUGAACUCGAUUCCGACAGAUUUAAUUCAGGUGUGCUAUACUGCGGGUUGAUUCAGGGAAACGGCAGGGGGUUUUGUGCAAAAACUGCGCGCGCUGACCGGUCCAGCCACUUGGCAGCCAAUUGGCGAGCUUUGAUUGGCCUGGAACUAAAUCAUCACAUGAGAUGCAAGUUGGGAUAUGGUUUGGUUAAGUUUUGCAACUUUAGGACUGAAUCAUCACAUUGGGUGCAAGUUAGGGUACCUGGGGUGCUAUUACCUCCAAAAUCAUGCAGAUCGAUCGUACCACACGAUCGGUUGUCCAGAUUGGCCGGGGAAAGGUAAUCAAUUGCUUAAUGCAGAGGCUGAUGGGAUGCCACAAUCUCAACUGUCUCUUGAUCCGGGCUGACGGCAUACUUCCGGAAGCUUGGAGUGCGUACUGACCUAAACUGAAAGAAAUCUGGGGGAUAGUGCAAGUAUUACCUACUUUUAUAAUGGAAGCGGCUACCUGGCUACCUUCUUGACGAUGCCAUGUCGACCCGGUUGGUAUGGCCGAAAGGAAAAUUUGAACCAGCUGUUACUCUGACUAAUAAAAUACGUCAGAUCAUCUAUCAUUACAGGAUUAUAAAUUUAUAAUCAAUCAUUGUGUGAGUUUACUGACCAAUUUGGUUGCAUAGAAGCCCGGAAGUGUGCCAGUGGACAUUCCGUCCUUGUAUUUAGUUCCAAGCGGAUUAGGGGUCAGCUUCACAGGUGUCCUGCACCGUGGAUGCCAGGAGUUAUAUAAAUCAGAGCAGAGCAUAUCUGGGUUUAACUUUUAAAUUAGACAUUUUAUAGAUCAAGCGGAAGAAGAAAAAGAAGUGUUUUGUAAACUCAAUAAUUGUUGGGUUUUUUAGUAACCAAAAAAUAAUCAGUGGUGACGCGAAAUGCUGCUAUAUGAAGUUCAUGGUGUGCAAUCGCACCGCGCCGCGCACGCCUCAGCUAAAUCGCAGCAAACGUGCGGCCCAUAACACAUAGUACAACUCUUUUCUUGAUAACUCAAAGAAUAUGCAUUGAAUUAAUUUUUAUAUAAUCAAUUUUAAAAUAAAUGAUGAAAAAAUAUAUGUUAAAAAGAUAUUUGCACAAUUAAAAAGUGUUCUGUAUUUUUUUAAAUGUUUGCAUGAUUAAAAUAUUUUUCAUGUAAUUUUGAAAAGUUCUUGCCCAUUUUGAAAAAUGUUCAUAUACUUCUAAAAGUGUUCAUACAAUCAGGAAAAAUUAUCGUAAUUAAAACUGAUCACAUAUUUAAUGUUUAGUUCAAAAAAUAUCUUCAUAUAUUUAAAAAAGAUUAUAUUUGUUUGCGUAAUUAUAAAAAACUUCACCUAUUUUAGAAUAUAUUCACGUAGUUUUUAAACUCUUUAUGUAUUUUCAAAUGUGCAUGUGUUUAGAGAAAAUGUACAUAUUUCUUUAUUGAAAGAAAUACAUAACAGGCAAACAAUAAAUAAGAUUAAAAUUAAAAAAUAUAUUUAAAAAAGAAACAAGAAACACAACGCCAAGCGAAAAUGCAAAAUGCAAAAUGGAAAAAAGAAAACCAAGAAAAUAGAAAACAGAAAACCAAGAAAAUAGAAAACAGAAAAGAAUAUAAUAGAAUUGAAAAAAGAAAGGGAAAGGCAGCGAAACAGGCUGACCCAUAUAGGCACGCUCCGUGGGCAACUUAACCGCUAUAUCUCGUAAUAAGGGUUGGGAAAUCUCCAAACAAACGGGUGUUCCCAAAUGCCCGUGGCCAUAUCCUGACAUGUUCGCCGGCCAUCUAGUCUAGCACUAUCCCUGUCCCAUUUCAAAGUUUUCAAACGCAAAGUUUCGAUGAAAUUUAAGCACGUUCGAUAUAUUACAUGCAAACUAGUGGCACCGACGUCAUCGUUGUCACGACGAUUGGGAAAGCUAGGCAAGCCACGACGGUGCGCUCGCUCUGAAACCGUCAUGUGUCAUCCUCCGUCUUGAGCCGCGCCUUCUCUUCCUUCUUGUGGGCAGCACGCUUCGACUCGAGGACGCAAAUCUAAAAAUAGGCCUAAGUUGAUCCAGCACUAACAGUGGGUGUGGAUCUCCUUGGUGGUCUUGGUUCGGUGAGCUGCCCACACCGCCGCGAGCUCCUCGUCGGCGAGGACAUAGUACGAUGCUACUAGCGUCUUGGCAAACGACACCAAGCACCGCACCUGGCGUCGCUUCACAGUGGUGGGGAAUUUCAAGCCCCAUCGAUGAAGAGGACACGUUGUGCGACACAUCGCUCAGGAGUCGGUACUCCAGGCGGGAGCACGGCUACGAUGGGGACGGUCGUCGCUCCUUCUUGAAGCCAGCCAAACACCACAAGGCGUCAGGGUGGUGCUGCGACAGGGCGGCGGUCAGACGCCACUAGGUGUCGAGGUGGCAUUGCGUCGAGGACGACGGCUGCUGGGGCCAUGCCUCGAGGGGGUAUGUAUGAAUCCCAAUCGCCAGCUGCUCCUCGUGCUCCUCCAUGGUCUGAGACGCCGGGACAACGACGCCUCCUCGUCCAACAACCUCGUUGCCUCCCCCCACUCGACGUCAUGGCAAGGCGUCAAACUUGUACCCGUCUUGCAUCCACAUCAUCCGGGUCGUGAGAAGCUUCUCCGACCUCGUCGACUUCUUCCCAUUGCAGCAUGGCGGUUACCGAAAGCAGUGUGGUGGGCGGCGGGAGAUGGCUAGGGUUCUGGGAGAGGAGUGGAUGGAGUGAGGGGGAGGAUCGGUUUAAAAGCAGUGGAGGGGCGAAGUUGGACGACCGUAUCAUGAAUGUGAUAGUUGGACCGGCCACCUUCAAUGGCAAAACCCCGGUGUUUGGGAAGGGGUUUUGGGGGGACUGGGGUGUUGCACACAAAUGUGACGAAUGUCCGGACUCGGCGCUGCUAGGCCUGGCUUACAUGCUUUCGCAUGGGCAUCGCCUAGUGCACGAACUAGAGUUGGUUGCUGCUCGUAUGUGUGAUGCAGUGAGGUGACCUUUCUUCCUUUUGUUUUUGUUUAAAUCUUGAAAUAUUCUAAUUAAUACAAAUUUGAGUCACUUAUUUUGGACGGAGGGAGUAUAUUUUAAAUAUUACUUUACUUAAAUAUUUAAGAAUGCUCGCCGCUCAUUUAAAAAAUGUCCGUCAAUGUUACAAUUUUGUUUGCACAAUUUUCAGAAAAAUGCUCGUGGCAUUUUAAACGUGUUCACAUUUAAAAUAUUGUCCAUUAUAUAUUUUUCAAAUGUUCAUGAAAAUGUAAAAGUUUGUUCAUGUAAUUCAUAAAUAUAUUUGUACAAUUCAAAAAAUGUUAAUGACAUUUGAAAAUGUUCACGUGUUUAAAAACAUGUUUCAUGACAUUUUAAAAAGGUGUUUAUGGGAGUGAAUUUCAUCUUAGUAUCGGUAAUGCCCCGCCCAAAAGUAUUUCAUCGCAAUGGUGUUUUGGUGGCCGGGCCACCUGGAGGCCGGAAUCUGUGCCAUCUAGUAUAGCAUUGUGAUGUGUGCUGAUUUGCUUUCUCGUGGAUAUACGCUGGCUAUUAAUUUGCAAUACAAUGGUGCCAUGGGCUGAGGUGCUGCGAUUGUACAUGGGCCUCGGCUACACAGCGUUAAUGCAUGGUGGGCUGUUUUUGAAACUUCCACAUGUACUCGCGGUAGGUUGAGCUGGUGGGAUAUUAAUAUUGGUAUUAUGGGCCCAUGGGGUGCUGCAGAUAGCUUUACUUCCACUAAAAAAACGCAGUCCUCAGUUUUUUUGCAUGGUCAGACCAUUCAUCACCUUCUCAUAGUAGCUGAGUGAGUGACGGUUUGCCAUGGAUGAGCCCAUUGAUUUUGCUGCCAUUUCUUCGUCUAGUUCAUCUGCACCUUGUUAUUGGAUCUGAUUCUGAUGAGAUGAUAAUCUAGGAUGGGUUGCAGUUUUGGUUCCUACGGUGCACGUCAGUGAUAUUUUGUGUGAGUGUGUGGGGNNNNNNNNNNNNNNNNNNNNNNNNNNNNNNNNNNNNNNNNNNNNNNNNNNNNNNNNNNNNNNNNNNNNNNNNNNNNNNNNNNNNNNNNNNNNNNNNNNNNNNNNNNNNNNNNNNNNNNNNNNNNNNNNNNNNNNNNNNNNNNNNNNNNNNNNNNNNNNNNNNNNNNNNNNNNNNNNNNNNNNNNNNNNNNNNNNNNNNNNNNNNNNNNNNNNNNNNNNNNNNNNNNNNNNNNNNNNNNNNNNNNNNNNNNNNNNNNNNNNNNNNNNNNNNNNNNNNNNNNNNNNNNNNNNNNNNNNNCUCGUCCUAUGUGGAUAUUCAGUAUCAAGAGAUACAAGAUUCAUGAACCUCUUCAGAACAUCAUUUUUUCGUUUGAUGGUUUUUAAAAACUAGCCGAAUUAUGAAUAAUCCAAAUUGUUCUCGUCACCACUCGGAAUAACAUUUUACCUCCUUUUUUACGCAUGCAUCGUGUACAUGCUUUCUCCAUUAUUUUUGGAUCACAUUUUGAUAAUUUAUUUGGUUUGAUGGGUUUAGAAGUGCCUUCAAAUUGUUUGACUUUUACAUUAGCGAUUUAUUUGAAAAACAAUCGUCCCCUAGUAGUAAGAAUUCCCUUACCAAUUGAACGAUGCAUCCUUGUUAUGGUCUUCGAUGUCAUACCAUCACUGCCUCUCAUGUCAACGCCAUGCCAUUUCGAGUGUGUGUUUUCGAGAGGUGAAAACCCCAAGGAACUCUCAUAGCUAAAACGCAAUUACUGGAUACUCGCAACACAAGAUAAAUCAUGCAUAUGGAAUGAUAUCUUUUUCUCUCUCCUUUUGUACCAAAGGUUGCAAUCCGUAUGACUACCAGUACCCUUCAAUCUUAAACCAGCCUCACCUAAUACACCGAGUGUUUCUGAAUGAACACAAAUAAGAUGCACUCUAGUAUUUUAUGAUGAAUUUUUUCAAAAAAAAAGGUGUAAAAAAGGAAUACUGCCCUACUCGAUGCUAUCCUAUUAUAUAUUUUUAUAUAAAUCCAUUACAUGCAUCAGCUAACUCAUUGAUUUUAUUUUACUGUGUUCUUAUCAAGCACCGUGUUAUGUUAUUCACAACAACAAAAAGAAGCACCGUGUUAUGUUGUUCAGAGAUUUGCACCAGAACCCGUUUGUGUGCUUCAUAUCAUCACACUAGCUGUACAAGAGCAUCACGUAGCUACUAGCACCUGCAUGCAUGGCCUCACCGGCGUGAACCCUUUCCUUGUCGCGCUCACGCCGCUGUCGUACACAUGGGUCUCUAUCAUAAUAGUACAUGUGUGGCCGGGGAUGCAAGUGUGCCCGCACUGCUGUGCCGACUCGUGUACGCGAGCCGUCCAUGUUUAUUUGCCAGCAAAUACGGGCACUGUGCAACGGCCACAAGUGAAAAUACGGUAGCUGCAUACCCGCUCGGCGCUGAUCACCACGAGUACUGAGGGAUGUGAUAACGGCCUUCAGGUAGCUCGGCCACCAAAGCGCAUUUUCGUGUUUAUGAAACCUACAAAGUUAUUCACGCAAUAUUUUUUCAAAAAGUUCAUAACAUAUGAAUUUUUGGUUUCGUGACACUUUAACAAAAUGUUUUAACACUUAAUAAAUCUUUACUCGUUUUAAGAAAAAUGGUCAUGGUAUUUUUGUAAAAUGUUCAAUCAUGUGUGUAAAACUGUUCACUGUGUAUUUUAAAAAGUUCUAUGUGCAUUUUACAAAUGUUCAACAUGUAUUUGGAUAAAUGUUCAGAAUGUACUUAAAAAUGCUCAAUGUGUAUCUAACAAAAUUUCAAUUUCUACGCGAAAAAUGUGCAAUGUGUAUUUGAAUUAUUUCGACAUGCAUUUGAAAAAAAAACACAAAAAAGGAACGGAAGCAAAGAUGAAAUGAAAAUAAAACAAAAUAGAAAUGAUGAAAACCGAUAGAGAAAAUCAUGAAGAAAAAAGAACCCGCGUAGAACCUUCCCAAAACCGGGACGAAGGUUCGACAAACCAGUCCUCAAAAGCUUCUCAAACCCACUCAGUACACCUUGUUGGGCCGGCUUAUUCACCGCCUGAGGCAAGCGUUGCUUGCGAAGUUGCAAGACCUAGCAUUGCGCGUUGGAGGCCUAAAAGUGUCUAAACCGGUCAAGACAUAUAAAGGAGGUUUGGUGAGUCGCUUUGGAGAUGCUCUUAUAUCGCAUUUGGAUGAUGACGAUGGUUGUACAUGUUAGGCAGGGAUAAACCUUUAUUUAUUUUAUUUCUUGAGGUAAGGAUAAGCCUUUAUUGGGCAUGUGGACGUAAUCACUUCAAAUUUCAACCCACAUAGCAUCCAAGUUCAGACCUAAUCACUUGAAAUUCAACCCAUAGCCUAUAGUGGAUUAUAACAGAUAAUUAUGCCUAUAGUGGAUAAUUGUUUAAGUUACAAAUACCUAAUCUAGCUUGCAUUUCCCUUCAAACUUUUACCGUACAGGUGUAUCAUAGUUCAUCGGUGAUAUGUUAUGUUUCCAUGUGUAUUUCUUCAUCACGCUCGCUGUAGAGUGAGCUAUUCACAAUAUAUAUAGGGCCA